Dreissena polymorpha is the source of this 1072-nucleotide long non-coding RNA. RefSeq lists it as uncharacterized. The transcript is spliced from 4 exons. Lineage: Eukaryota; Metazoa; Mollusca; Bivalvia; Myida; Dreissenidae. The record is from RefSeq and is a predicted model, not a curated record.
UCUAAAAGGUUCUUGAAUGGGGCGAACACUUUUUUAUGACUGAAAGCGUUAAGCCCGCCUCGUCACUAAUGUUAAUAAAUUCCUGUCGGAGAAUACCGCAAAAUGAUAUUUCAGUUCGCUCAACGCGGACCUAUUUGACGAGGCGGUGUCUCGGUUAACAAUGUCCCCUAAAAAUGUCCAUAUUUCAAUCGCCGUAGAGCAAAUGACGAGGUUUCUCUUGAAGCAAGCAAAGCGACCGCCUAAGCAUGCUUUCGAGGCAACUUAAGAUAGGAAAAAAACUCAAGAGUUCAGUGAUCAAACACCAACAGAGCCUCGUGAUAAGUUGCCUGUAAAGAGGAGCAUGAACCCAUCAGAUGCCUCCGAAGAUAUUGACCUGACGAACAAUGCUGCAAAGCAAAAUCUCAGUAAGCAAAGUGCUCAAACACCUACAGAGCCUCGUGACAAGUUGCUUGUACACAGAAGAGCCUGAUCCCAUCAGAUGCCUCCGAAGAGAUUGAAAAGAACUGUUUACGGACAUUUUCAGAACUGUUUUAGAACAUUUGUUCCAGACUUAUUUGAAGCAACCCUUCGAAACUGUUCUAAACAUUUCUAGAAUUGUACUGGAACACACCGGCUAGAACUGUUCUGUAAUCAUACUGAAAAUGUUCUAGAAUUAUUCUGGAACAGUUGUUGAACGUUAAAUGAGAAAAAAAUUCUAGAACAAUUCUAUAACAGUUCUGGAAAUUUAUUCAAGAAAAAUUCUGGAAUAGUUCUAGAACGAUAGUUCAAGAAUUGUUCUAGAACAGUUGUUGAACGUUAAAUGAGAAAAAUUUCUAGAACAAUUCUAUAACAGUUCUGGAAAUUUAUUCAAGAAAAAUUCUGGAAUAGUUCUAGAACGCUAGUUCAAGAAUUGUUCUAGAACAAACCUUCAGAACUGUUUCAGAACAAAUUGUUCUAGAAAUUAUUCUCAUUUAACGUUCAACAACUGUUCUAAAUCGUUCUAGAGCAUUUUAAGGAUGAUUCCAGAACACUUCUAGUCAUUAGUUCCAGUACAAUUCUAGAAAUGUUAUAGAACAGUUCUAACAAUCUUCGC